GGGCGCCAGAGAGGGUGAG
This 19-nucleotide small nuclear RNA is filed under the name Arabidopsis thaliana (thale cress). RNAcentral's name for it is "snRNA_08877". Lineage: Eukaryota; Viridiplantae; Streptophyta; Magnoliopsida; Brassicales; Brassicaceae. The record is from RNAcentral.